GACGAACGCGGCGGCGUGCUUAACACAUGCAAGUCGAACGAAGAGAAAUGGAAGCUUGCUUCUAUGGAUCUUAGUGGCGAACGGGUGAGUAACGCGUAAUCAACCUGCCCUUCAGAGGGGGACAACAGUUGGAAACGACUGCUAAUACCGCAUACGAUUCAAUCUGGCAUCGAGAGUGGAUGAAAGGUGGCCUCUAUUUAUAAGCUAUCACUGAAGGAGGGGAUUGCGUCUGAUUAGCUAGUUGGAGGGGUAACGGCCCACCAAGGCGAUGAUCAGUAGCCGGUCUGAGAGGAUGAACGGCCACAUUGGGACUGAGACACGGCCCAGACUCCUACGGGAGGCAGCAGUGGGGAAUCUUCCGCAAUGGACGAAAGUCUGACGGAGCAACGCCGCGUGAGUGAUGACGGCCUUCGGGUUGUAAAGCUCUGUUAAUCGGGACGAAUGGUUCUUGUGCAAAUA
Molecule: ribosomal RNA, 459 nt
Filed under: Veillonella atypica
Lineage: Bacteria; Bacillati; Bacillota; Negativicutes; Veillonellales; Veillonellaceae
Description: bacterial SSU rRNA
Rfam family: Bacterial small subunit ribosomal RNA
Source: RNAcentral